Molecule: ribosomal RNA, 1603 nt
Filed under: Salmonella enterica
Lineage: Bacteria; Pseudomonadati; Pseudomonadota; Gammaproteobacteria; Enterobacterales; Enterobacteriaceae
Description: bacterial LSU rRNA
Rfam family: Bacterial large subunit ribosomal RNA
Source: RNAcentral
UGGGUAGGGGAGCGUUCUGUAAGCCUGUGAAGGUGGCCUGUGAGGGUUGCUGGAGGUAUCAGAAGUGCGAAUGCUGACAUAAGUAACGAUAAAGCGGGUGAAAAGCCCGCUCGCCGGAAGACCAAGGGUUCCUGUCCAACGUUAAUCGGGGCAGGGUGAGUCGACCCCUAAGGCGAGGCCGAAAGGCGUAGUCGAUGGGAAACGGGUUAAUAUUCCCGUACUUGGUGUUACUGCGAAGGGGGGACGGAGAAGGCUAUGUUGGCCGGGCGACGGUUGUCCCGGUUUAAGCGUGUAGGCUGGUUUUCCAGGCAAAUCCGGAAAAUCAAGGCUGAGGCGUGACGACGAGGCACUACGGUGCUGAAGCAACAAAUGCCCUGCUUCCAGGAAAAGCCUCUAAGCAUCAGGUAACAUCAAAUCGUACCCCAAACCGACACAGGUGGUCAGGUAGAGAAUACCAAGGCGCUUGAGAGAACUCGGGUGAAGGAACUAGGCAAAAUGGUGCCGUAACUUCGGGAGAAGGCACGCUGACACGUAGGUGAAGUGAUUUACUCAUGGAUCUGAAGUCAGUCGAAGAUACCAGCUGGCUGCAACUGUUUAUUAAAAACACAGCACUGUGCAAACACGAAAGUGGACGUAUACGGUGUGACGCCUGCCCGGUGCCGGAAGGUUAAUUGAUGGGGUCAGCGCAAGCGAAGCUCCUGAUCGAAGCCCCGGUAAACGGCGGCCGUAACUAUAACGGUCCUAAGGUAGCGAAAUUCCUUGUCGGGUAAGUUCCGACCUGCACGAAUGGCGUAAUGAUGGCCAGGCUGUCUCCACCCGAGACUCAGUGAAAUUGAACUCGCUGUGAAGAUGCAGUGUACCCGCGGCAAGACGGAAAGACCCCGUGAACCUUUACUAUAGCUUGACACUGAACAUUGAGCCUUGAUGUGUAGGAUAGGUGGGAGGCUUUGAAGUGUGGACGCCAGUCUGCAUGGAGCCGACCUUGAAAUACCACCCUUUAAUGUUUGAUGUUCUAACGUGGACCCGUAAUCCGGGUUGCGGACAGUGUCUGGUGGGUAGUUUGACUGGGGCGGUCUCCUCCUAAAGAGUAACGGAGGAGCACGAAGGUUGGCUAAUCCUGGUCGGACAUCAGGAGGUUAGUGCAAUGGCAUAAGCCAGCUUGACUGCGAGCGUGACGGCGCGAGCAGGUGCGAAAGCAGGUCAUAGUGAUCCGGUGGUUCUGAAUGGAAGGGCCAUCGCUCAACGGAUAAAAGGUACUCCGGGGAUAACAGGCUGAUACCGCCCAAGAGUUCAUAUCGACGGCGGUGUUUGGCACCUCGAUGUCGGCUCAUCACAUCCUGGGGCUGAAGUAGGUCCCAAGGGUAUGGCUGUUCGCCAUUUAAAGUGGUACGCGAGCUGGGUUUAGAACGUCGUGAGACAGUUCGGUCCCUAUCUGCCGUGGGCGCUGGAGAACUGAGGGGGGCUGCUCCUAGUACGAGAGGACCGGAGUGGACGCAUCACUGGUGUUCGGGUUGUCAUGCCAAUGGCACUGCCCGGUAGCUAAAUGCGGAAGAGAUAAGUGCUGAAAGCAUCUAAGCACGAAACUUGCCCCGAGAUGAGUUCU